UCCUUGUUAGUACAGUGGUGAGUAUCCCCAUCUGUAAAUCAGGAGAUCAGGGUUCGAUUCCCCAAUGGGGAG
This 72-nucleotide transfer RNA is filed under the name Tupaia belangeri chinensis (Chinese tree shrew). RNAcentral describes it as "Tupaia chinensis (Chinese tree shrew) tRNA". It matches the Rfam family "tRNA". From Rfam's summary of the family: Transfer RNA (tRNA) molecules are approximately 80 nucleotides in length. Their secondary structure includes four short double-helical elements and three loops (D, anti-codon, and T loops). The record is from Rfam by way of RNAcentral. Lineage: Eukaryota; Metazoa; Chordata; Mammalia; Scandentia; Tupaiidae.